This 467-nucleotide ribosomal RNA is filed under the name uncultured bacterium. RNAcentral's name for it is "partial 16S ribosomal RNA". It matches the Rfam family "Bacterial small subunit ribosomal RNA", at positions 28 to 506 of the family's 1533-position model. The record is from RNAcentral.
GACGAACGCUGGCGGCGUGCUUAACACAUGCAAGUCGAACGGAAAGGCCCUGCUUUUGUGGGGUGCUCGAGUGGCGAACGGGUGAGUAACACGUGAGUAACCUGCCCUUGACUUUGGGAUAACUUCAGGAAACUGGGGCUAAUACCGGAUAGGAGCUCCUGCUGCAUGGUGGGGGUUGGAAAGUUUCGGCGGUUGGGGAUGGACUCGCGGCUUAUCAGCUUGUUGGUGGGGUAGUGGCUUACCAAGGCUUUGACGGGUAGCCGGCCUGAGAGGGUGACCGGCCACAUUGGGACGGAGUGACGGCCCAGACUACUACGGGAGGCAGGAGGGGGGAAUAUUGCACAAUGGGCGGAAGCAUGAUGCAGCAACGCCGCGUGCGGGAGGACGGACUUCGGGUUGUAAACCGCUUUCGCCUGUGACGAAGCGUGAGUGACGGUAAUGGGUAAAGAAGCACCGGCUAACUACGU